GGGGAUUUAGCUCAGUGGUAGAGCGCUUGCCUAGCAAGCUCAAGUCCCUGGGUUCGGUCCCCAGCUCCG
RNAcentral lists this transfer RNA (69 nucleotides) under Rattus norvegicus (Norway rat). It matches the Rfam family "tRNA". From Rfam's summary of the family: Transfer RNA (tRNA) molecules are approximately 80 nucleotides in length. Lineage: Eukaryota; Metazoa; Chordata; Mammalia; Rodentia; Muridae. The record is from Rfam by way of RNAcentral.